UUCGGUAUGUACUGGCUUUAAUGAUUCCUCCUUCUUGACGAACCGUGAUGUCAUUAAUUUGGAGUUGCGGAAAAUCAGGACUGUUACUUUGAAAAAAUUAGAGUGUUUAAAGCAGGCUAACGCUUGAAUACAUUAGCAUGGAAUAAUGAAAUAGGACGUUAAUCCUAUUUUGUUGGUUUCUAGGAUCGACGUAAUGAUUAAUAGGGAUAGUUGGGGGCAUUAGUAUUCAAUUGUCAGAGGUGAAAUUCUUGGAUUUAUUGAAGACUAACUACUGCGAAAGCAUUUGCCAAGGAUGUUUUCAUUAAUCAAGAACGAAAGUUAGGGGAUCGAAGACGAUCAGAUACCGUCGUAGUCUUAACCAUAAACUAUGCCGACUAGGGAUCGGAUGAUGUUAUUUUUAAUGACUCA
This 408-nucleotide ribosomal RNA is filed under the name uncultured fungus. RNAcentral's name for it is "SSU rRNA". It matches the Rfam family "Eukaryotic small subunit ribosomal RNA", at positions 669 to 1078 of the family's 1831-position model. Lineage: Eukaryota; Fungi. The record is from RNAcentral.